RNAcentral lists this ribosomal RNA (405 nucleotides) under uncultured bacterium. RNAcentral's name for it is "bacterial SSU rRNA". It matches the Rfam family "Bacterial small subunit ribosomal RNA", at positions 355 to 775 of the family's 1533-position model. The record is from RNAcentral.
UUGGGAAUCUUGCACAAUGGGGGAAACCCUGAUGCAGCGACGCCGCGUGGAGGACGAAGGGUCUAGGCCUGUAAACUCCUUUUCUCGGGAAAGACUUAGGACGGUACCCGAGGAAUAAGGACCGGCUAACUACGUGCCAGCAGCCGCGGUAAGACGUAGGGUCCAAGCGUUGUCCGGAUUUACUGGGCGUAAAGAGCGCGUAGGCGGUCUGUUAAGUGCACGAGUGAAAUCCCGGGGCUCACCUCCGGAACUGCUCUGCAUACUGGCAGACUUGAGGGUCGGAGAGGUUUGUGGAAUUCCUGGUGUAGCGGUGAAAUGCGUUGAUAUCAGGAGGAACACCCAUGGCGAAGGCAGCAAACUGGCCGGCAUCUGACGCUGAGGCGCGAAAGCGUGGGUAGCAAACAG